AUGGGCACACUUCGAGACCUUCAGUUCGCCUUGCAGCUAAAGAUCGAGGAGCUCCGUCAGAGGGACACUCUGAUAGAUGAGCUGGAGUUGGAACUCGAUACCAAGGACGAACUCAUUCGGAGACUUCAGGAAGAACUGGAUCGCUAUAGAGCCUCUGUUCUCCUGCCGGGACCCUCUGCAGCCAGCGCCGCAUGCUCGGCUCAAGGUGAUGACCACCUGCGUAUCACGAACAGAAAUACAGUCAUUUCAGAGUCCUUUACUCCGGAUUCUAUGAAUCCUGCUACCUUUUGUGACAAAAACCAGGAAUGUCAGAAGUUGAUUCAGGUCGCAUUUUUGAAGAGCAACUUGUUGAGCAACCUCGAUGAAGAUGAAACGAGAGCCGUCACGGCCUGCAUGCAUCUCACGGCCGUCCAUCACAGCUGCUGCGUGAUUCAGGAGGGAAGCAGCGGCUCGCAGGCUUAUGUUGUGCAGGAGGGGAGGCUGGACGUGACGAAAGAUGGACAGAAAUUGCUCACAAUCGAAGCAGGUGAAAUGUUUGGGGAGGUGGCGCUGCUUUACAACUGCACACAAAUCUACUCCGUCACAGCGCAGUCGGACAGCAAGAUGUGGGUUCUCGAGCGCAAGAGUUACCAGACGGUGCUCAUGCGGAGCGGCCGCGAGAGGCUCGCGCGUACGUCAGAGCUGCUGAGCGGUGUUCCCUCUCUGCUGGCCUUGCCAAAGGAUGCCAUCAUGAAGAUGUGUGAUCUCAUGGAGGAGGCUCGCUACUCUCAAGGCGACUACAUCUUUCGACAGGGCGCCUCAGGGGACACCUUUUAUAUCGUUAACAAAGGCCAGGUGAAAGUCACAGAAAAGAAGCCAGGAGAUGAGGAGCGGGUCCUCUCCAAGCUCUCGGAGAGGCACUGGUUUGGAGAAAAAGCUUUGUGGGGAGAGGACGUGCGUGGAGUGAAUGUGAUCGCGGCUACUGAUGUGACGUGUCUGCUCAUUGACAGAGAAACAUUCAGGGAUAUCAUUGGAGGUAUGGUGUUUGACAGCAGUCAAGAGGUGCCACAAAACACUGAUUGCAAACAUGACUCAGAAGUCAAGGAUGGUGCCUCCCUCCUAUCGUCGACCUUAAGUGAUUUCCAGAUAAUAAGCACUUUGGGAGAAGGGCAGUUUGGACACACGGAUCUGGUGCAACUCAAGAGCAACGGUCAGGGUCUUUACGCCAUGAGGGUCUUCGAUAAAAAGGCGAUUGUCCACAACGGCCUGCGAGAGCACGUUCUGAGAGAACGAAACAUCCUCAUGGAUUCCGCAUGUCCAUUCCUAGUCAGGUUGCACAAAACCUUUCAAGAUGCAAAGCGCAUCUAUUUGCUGACAGAGGCUUGUCUCCAUGGUGAUCUUUACAGCUUGAUCAAAGAAAAAGGCUGUCUGGACGAGAGCAGCACCAAGUUCUACGCGGCUUGCGUGACGCAGGCGUUGACCUUCCUUCACGCUCGAAAUGUUGUCUACAGAGACAUCAAGCCUGAAAAUGUUGUUCUGGAUGAGCGAGGAUAUGCCAAACUGGUGGGUUCGAGGUGUUUAAAAAAGAUGGAAAUGGGUAAAAAGACCUACACGUUCUGUGGCACUCCAGGCUACAUGGCCCCGGAAGUCAUUUUCAACAAAGGCCACAGCGUAGCUGCAGACCUCUGGUCUUUGGGUGUUUUUGUGUUUGAGCUCCUGACUGGUGGGAUUAGAAGACAAUAAAGGCACCAUUGCAGUAUUUUGCAUCCAUCCAUCCAUCCAUUUUCUUGACCGCUUAUCCUCAUGAGGGUCACUGGAGUGCUGGAGCCUAUCCCAGCUGUCAGUAGGCAGGAGGCGGGGUACACCCUGAACUGGUUGCCAGCCAAUCAUACAAUCACACCCAGUGGCAAUUUAGAGUGUCGAAUUGACGUUGCAUGUUUUUGGGAUGUGGGAGGAAACCGGAGUGCUCGGAGAAAACCCACGCCUGCACGGGGAGAACAUGGAGACUCCACGCAGGCGGGCCGGGAUCGAACCCUGGACCUCAGAACUGUGAGGCUAACAAUUUACAGCUGAGACACCGAUGACACGCGCAAUUAUGACUAAAAAUAAUAAUGAAAAAGAGAAGCGAGGACUUACCUUAGGUCUACCCAGGCCAGACCAGUUAGCUUGAUGCUCACAAUUUUUUUUUGUCUUCGUCGAUAGGGCUGAAAAACUUUUAGGAACAGAGUUUGUGUAUGUUAACACCAACACAACUUCAACUUUAUAAUUGCUCCUAUUCAAAAUACUGUACCGUCGGCUUGUUCCACUGUUAGAUGUUGAACUGUGUCACGAGCAAAGUUGGACCACGGUCAAGAGGGACGUGGCCUGGCCACCGCUCCAAGCGGUUUCAUCUCUAACACCUGUCAUUGGUCACAGCUGUGUUACACAAGGCACUGUGAUUAGAAAAUGUAUUUAAGUAGGAGUUUUGUCACUGGUUUUUGCCAGUUCGUUGAGUAUGCUUUCCCGCAUGCAGGGUUACUCCGCCACUGCACCAUUAUAGUCCAGUUAUGCUCUUUAGUUGACUCAUAGUUAUCGGACAUUGUUUCUUGUGCUUUGGAUCCUGCCUUCUAGGACUGUGUUGUCGUGCACAACUUUCGUUUAUAAUAAAACCCACUGAACAUCAUGUCCUCGUCUUGGGGUCCUGCAUUUGGGUCCGCCCGUGCACCGUUGGUUCGUGACAGAACUGUACCAGUGACAGACCGCUUGUGUCUCCAGGCUUCCGUUCGGCGGCGUUGACCCAAUGAGGGUCCUCAGCGAGACCGUGCGUGGCAUUGAUAACAUCGACUUCCCGAAAGCAAUCAGCAAGAGUGCCUCCAGUCUCAUAAAGAAGCUGUGCAGGCAAAAUCCCUCGGAGAGGCUCGGCA
Molecule: RNA transcript, 2882 nt
Organism: Syngnathoides biaculeatus (alligator pipefish)
Lineage: Eukaryota; Metazoa; Chordata; Actinopteri; Syngnathiformes; Syngnathidae
Gene: prkg1l
Gene name: protein kinase cGMP-dependent 1, like
Exons: 17
Source: RefSeq, a predicted model, not a curated record